This 4392-nucleotide long non-coding RNA is filed under the name Nicotiana tabacum (common tobacco). RNAcentral describes it as "long non-coding RNA (NTAB_LNC002368)". Lineage: Eukaryota; Viridiplantae; Streptophyta; Magnoliopsida; Solanales; Solanaceae. The record is from RNAcentral.
UUCCAUCAUUUUUGACACACACGACAGAGUCUAGAAUCUGCUCUCGUCUUCCGUCUCUUCUAUUCCAACCGAUGGAGGAGUUUCAGUUCGCCUUCUUCAAACUUUCAACAAUACUCGUAGCUCUUUUCGUCUUCUUAUCUAUCUAUUAGAUUUCAGGCAUUAUUCGCUCAAUCCUUGCUCGCAUCUUCUUUGUUUUCUCUUUGUCUUCUUUUCUUUCUUUGCUACUUUUAGAUCUAUUUAACUGUUUUCAAUUUCAUGGAUAAAUUUCCUUGGAUUUUGUAUUUUCCAACCAGAUGAUGCGGAAUUACCAUUUUAAGGGCUAUUCUCCGUCCAAUUUCAUUGAUGUUGCCUUCUUCUUGCUGAUUCACCUCUAUCUCUUCUUCUUCAUAAGGUAUUGAAAUUUAUUGUUCUACUAACUUAAAACAAAAAGGAUAUUUAAUUUUACUCCUAAUUCAUGUUGUUCUUCCUUUUCUUUACAUUUUUUGUAUAUGUUAUAUUUCUAUGAAUUGUGAAUCGCGAGUAUGUUUUCAGGCUCUUCUUAACUGCCUCUGCGCACACCCCUCACUCUCCAUAGCCGAGGAAAAGAACAGUAAGAACUCAUGAUAACCUAAUUUUGAUAAAGCACUAAAAUUGGUGUAUGGGUUGAGAUUGAAAUAAAGUGAAUGAAUUAAGUCAAAUGGCUAUUGGGAAAAAUUUAUGCAUAUAAAUUUCUAUUGACAGAUUUUAUUCAUUAUUUCAUGUCUUAGGAAUGCUUAAUUAGGCUUAAGAUGAUUUGGGAACUUUUCUUAAAAGUUGUGUUCGAGCAACAUCUGAUUGUUUAAACUUAAAUUCAUUUAUCUGGCUACAAAUUUAUGGAAUAAGGAAGGUAUGUUAAAGGGCAUGUAAUGGGAUUGCUUUAUAUGAUGACUCAUUGUUGUUGAUGGGAUUUGAAAGUAGAGGAAUAUUUAAAAGUAGAGGAGUAGGAAGUAGAGCACCGAGGAUUGAUAAAGAUUGUAUGAAGUUGCAAGACACUAAUGGUCCAGAAAAAGGACGAGAAAAUAGCACAGAUAUCCAAAACUUUAAGAAGCAGACAAGAGGAAUAGAGAUGUAAGGACAUGUAUAAGAGGAUACCUAAGCCAAGGAAGUAGCUUAAUUUUUUUUAUUUUUUUAUUCCUUGUUUAUUGGCAUCCACUGAUACAAUGUGUGUUCAACUAUAAAUUAUAGUUGUUUGUCUUAUUGGAAAUUCUCAUUCACCCAUCUUUAAGCCUAAUUUGUCUUAUUUUCUACUGAUAUGUCCAUGUCUUAUUAUCAACAUAUGUUAUCUUCACCUAUACUUUCUUAUUAUUCUCUACUUUUAUGCAAUUUUAUUAGAAUAUUCUUUAAGUUUGUAUUUUAUUAAGAUAUUUUGUCCAAAAGUAUAAGUGACGGAUGGAUCUUUCCAUCUUGCAUACUUGACUGAUUGAUUCACUUGGUUACUUCUUGACAAUUGGUUUUUUCUCCUGUUAGUUCAGUACCGAAUGCAUAUGGAUUAUCAGGUUUGUAUAUUUAUCAGUGGAAAAUAUUAUUGCAUUCAUAAAUACACUUUGUUUUAACAUAAAUAUAGCAUGUAUUAAAACAUUCUUCCAUGAUGAUUACUUUCAACUUUUACAAAUUAAAACUAUUACAGGAACCUAGAAAAAGGAUUAUUUUCAAGGUCAUGAAAGAGUACUCAAAGGUCCUCCUCCAUCACUUCAAGUGGCAAAGGCUGUGAACUAUUUAACUUGGUACCCUUCUUUUUAUCCAUCAAGGCCUCUACAUGCUGCUCUUUACUUCCUUUUUGGGUGUAAGUUUUUUUUUCUUCAUAUUUAUGUUUAUCAUUGUGAUUAUUGAUGGUAAGGCCCAGCUCUCUUCGCAUUCAGUUUCUUAAAUCAAUUGGUGUGUUUGCUUUUGUGCUUUUAAUUUAUUUCAUCACUUUCAAGUUGUAGUUACAAGUUCAAAGAUCAAUUGAUUUUUUUUUAAUAUUCCGGAACAUAUGAUGACUAAUAGCUUGUUUGGCCAAGCUGCAAAAAUUAACUUAUUUUGAGAAGUGUUUUUUCUCAAAAGUGCUUUUUUCAAAAGUAUUUUUUGGUGAGAAUCAGUUUGUGUUUGGCUAAUUAAUUUGAAAAGCACUUCUGAGCAGCAAUUAGUAUUUGGCCAAGUUUUUAAAAACUGCUUCUAAGUGUAUUUUUCUUAAAAGUGCUUUUCAAAAAAGUGCUUUUGGAGAGAAGCUACUUUUUUCUGCUUCUCCAAAACUGCUUCUGCUUCUCCUCAAAAGCACUUUUCUUUCUUCAAAAAGCUUGGUCAAACACUUUAACUUUGAAAAAAAAGUACUUCUUUUAAAAAGAAAAGUGCUUUUGGCUUUGGAGAAGCUGGGCCAAACAGGCGAUAAGUCUAGCAUUCAAAAACUUUCCUCUUAGUUAGAAAAGGUAGUAUUGUAAUGCAUGAAAUAACUGGUGAUCGAGGAGGUUUUAUAUUCAUACUUUGAAAGUUCUAGCUUUGAUAUUGCCUAUUAUUUGUGGCUACAAGAGUUGCUUUAAUUUUUAUUUGGCUGAAUAGGUAGGGUGAUUUAUGAUACAAUAACAUGUCGUAGUAUGUACACUUUCGGAAAUAAGUACUUCGUAAAAUUGUACUAUUGUUAGGUAUUGAGUUUUAUUUGUGAAUUGAAGUAUAUAACUCUUUCGCACAGUGUAUUAAUACCAUGAGAUAUUUUUCCGUUCUAUGAGUUUAUCUACUAAGAUUAAGGACAAAUAAAAUAAGAAAUCAAGGAUAGUUUUGCAUAAUUAUUGUAGUGUAUUUGGUAACAGUGGCAUGGUAUAACUUUGUUUGUUUCCUUGGUUAUAAGUCUUUGCAAAUUAAAUAUAAUGUACUACAAAUGUAUUUAUAAAAAAGUGCAAUUUAUGCAAAAAGGGUGACAAGAACAAACCAAAAUUUUGAGGAAAAAAAAAAACAUAUUACCUAGGCUGAGUGCCAUUUCAAACAUAAGGUGCUCUUGCAGAUAGAAUAACACAAAAACGUCAUUAUUGUUACUUAGUUGAUCAACCAUUAGAAGUUUGUUGAUUGACCGUUGUUUGGGAAGUUCUAGAAUAAGUACCAUCUUGAGCUAACUAUCUUGAACACAAUUUUAUGUUUGAUUAUAUCUUCUUCAGUAUUUCGUGAACUCUAAAUUAUUUUCAUUGUUGACUCUGGUAGAAAUUGAUUAUUCAUCAAUGGGAGAUUUAAAAGAACCCCAUGACUGAGGUAUGUAUUAGGUCUUGAGCACUACCAGCUUACUCAAUAUAUUUAGAUAUAAAGAAUGUGUUUUAUUGUAAUUGUCUUGAAGAGUUUGUACUUGAAUUAAACUAUCUACUCAGUUUCCUUUCGAUAUUUGACUUAUGGAACUUCAGUUUGAUACUUUAUGUGAUAAAUACAGUCAAUAAAUCAAUCUAUCUAUGUCUUGAAACAGAGAAGAAACUUUUCAAUUAAGGUUUGUGAAGAAAAUGAGAAAAGCAAAGUGGAUCACUUUUUUAUAUUUCCCUUUUCGUGUAUUAGAAAAUUUUAUUAUUGACAAAGACCACACUAAGAUAAUGCUGAGAUGACAUAAAAGAAAUAUUAAUAUCAGUCCAUAUUUAUUCUUGCAGUGAUGACAAAAAAUAUAUCAAUGUAUUUACUUCAUAUCCUUAUAUGUUCUUUAUAACGAAUGAACUUUUUGUGUCACUUAAUAGUCAUAUGAUAUUAAUGUAUCUUUUUCUUUUAUAUGAGGGAAAGUAAAAUGCAUUGACCAACUUUUCUGGACAUCAUUUGCAUUUCACAUAAGUUGUGUCAGCAUUAGCUUAUCAAAGAAAACAUAAGGCUUAGCAUUUUUUCGAUUUUUUCGUUAAUUGUUAGGUGGUUAAAUCUUAAUGAUAGGAAGAUCCUAUACUGUUUUGAUAAAAUAUUAUAUUUGAUGUAUCUUUAGAUUGUAGUAACAGUGUCUUGCUAUAAAAGGCCAUAAUUUGACUCUUGAGUAUAGUAUUUUUCGAGUAGUUUAUUUGUGGUGAUCGCACUUAUCUCUUUAUGUCGUGAUAUUUUUCAAUUCUUGCUAUCAUUUAAUAUUUUCUAUCUCUAAAUAUUUGACUUCUUAUUCUCUACUUGGAAUAGGACAGGUUGUCUGAAGAACACAUAGUAGCAGAUGUAUGAAUGCAAUACACAAAAUAUUUGCCAUACUUUAUGUGGCUCUUAGUUGGACUAUGUUCUCUUUUGUUUAUAGUACAAACACGGAUAGCAACUGAUAUAUUUAGUUGAUCACGUAGCAUAAGAUAGUGGGUAGAAAACGAUGAAGAAAUAAGGCGUACUUGAGCUUGAGUUUGAUUUUGUAAGUAUAUUUAAAGGAAGUUGAAGAAAAGGAAAUAUUUAGCUCAAUUUUGAUAAAUCUAGGGA